Molecule: non-coding RNA, 98 nt
Organism: Acanthosepion pharaonis
Lineage: Eukaryota; Metazoa; Mollusca; Cephalopoda; Sepiida; Sepiidae
Source: the annotation of a GenBank genome assembly
AUUGAAACAUUCGUUCUUGUCCGAUCACCGAAGUUAAGCAUCGUUGACCCUGGUUAUUACCUAGAUGGGUGACCGCAUGGUAAUACCAGGUGCUGUAA